Molecule: non-coding RNA, 96 nt
Organism: Nicotiana sylvestris (wood tobacco)
Lineage: Eukaryota; Viridiplantae; Streptophyta; Magnoliopsida; Solanales; Solanaceae
Source: Rfam
UGGACAAAUUAUUGUAUUCGACUGUAUUCACAACGUGAAACAGGGGAUUACACUGUUUUUAAACGGAAAGUGAAUCAAUUAACAUAAUAGACUCCU